GACGUAGGGCGCGAGCGUUGUCCGGAUUUAUUGGGCGUAAAGAGCUCGUAGGCGGCUUGUCGCGUCGACCGUGAAAACUUGGGGCUCAACCCCAAGCCUGCGGUCGAUACGGGCAGGCUAGAGUUCGGUAGGGGAGACUGGAAUUCCUGGUGUAGCGGUGAAAUGCGCAGAUAUCAGGAGGAACACCGGUGGCGAAGGCGGGUCUCUGGGCCGAUAUCGACGCUGAGGAGCGAAAGCGUGGGGAGCGAACAGG
This 253-nucleotide ribosomal RNA is filed under the name uncultured bacterium. RNAcentral describes it as "partial 16S ribosomal RNA". It matches the Rfam family "Bacterial small subunit ribosomal RNA", at positions 524 to 776 of the family's 1533-position model. The record is from RNAcentral.